UGAAACGCGAUGAUGAGAAGAGUAAGGCGGAAUGUUUUUGAACAGAGAGCUCCGGAUGCUGAAAAGGAGUCAAAAGCCGCUGCCUGAAGCAAGCCUCUGAGCAGCGUGCCGGAACCGCAAGCGCGGGGGUGGCAUGCCGGGAGCUCCCGAUACAGAGCCAGUACAGGCUUAGCAGCAAAUGCCGUACUUGAUGAGAUCAAUAUGGCGACAUAUUGGUAAAGCCGGGGUGGCACCACGAAACUCGUCCCCAAG
Molecule: non-coding RNA, 252 nt
Filed under: Paenibacillus sp.
Lineage: Bacteria; Bacillati; Bacillota; Bacilli; Caryophanales; Paenibacillaceae
Description: T-box sequence
Rfam family: T-box leader
About the family: Uncharged tRNA acts as the effector for transcription antitermination of genes in the T-box leader family. T-boxes are found upstream of many aminoacyl-tRNA synthetase genes and some amino acid biosynthetic genes usually in Gram-positive bacteria. The anticodon of a specific tRNA base pairs to a specifier sequence within the T-box motif, and the NCCA acceptor tail of the tRNA base pairs to a conserved bulge in the T-box antiterminator hairpin.
Source: RNAcentral